CUGCAUGGCUGUCGUCAGCUCGUGUCGUGAGAUGUUGGGUUAAGUCCCGCAACGAGCGCAACCCUUGUCAUUAGUUGCUACAUUCAGUUGGGCACUCUAAUGAGACUGCCGGUGACAACCGGAGGAAGGUGGGGAUGACGUCAAGUCCUCAUGGCCCUUAUAGGUGGGGCUACACACGUCAUACAAUGGAUGGUACAAAGGGUCGCCAACCCGCGAGGGGGAGCCAAUCCCAUAAAGCCAUUCGUAGUCCGGAUCGCAGUCUGCAACUCGACUGCGUGAAGUCGGAAUCGCUAGUAAUCGUGGAUCAGAAUGUCACGGUGAAUACGUUCCCGGGUCUU
RNAcentral lists this ribosomal RNA (338 nucleotides) under uncultured Acidovorax sp. RNAcentral's name for it is "bacterial SSU rRNA". It matches the Rfam family "Bacterial small subunit ribosomal RNA", at positions 1041 to 1382 of the family's 1533-position model. Lineage: Bacteria; Pseudomonadati; Pseudomonadota; Betaproteobacteria; Burkholderiales; Comamonadaceae. The record is from RNAcentral.